Molecule: ribosomal RNA, 2902 nt
Filed under: Klebsiella pneumoniae
Lineage: Bacteria; Pseudomonadati; Pseudomonadota; Gammaproteobacteria; Enterobacterales; Enterobacteriaceae
Also listed under: 2 other names
Description: 23S ribosomal RNA
Rfam family: Bacterial large subunit ribosomal RNA
Source: RNAcentral
GGUUAAGCGACUAAGCGUACACGGUGGAUGCCCUGGCAGUCAGAGGCGAUGAAGGACGUGCUAAUCUGCGAAAAGCGUCGGUAAGGUGAUAUGAACCGUUAUAACCGGCGAUGUCCGAAUGGGGAAACCCAGUGCAAUUCGUUGCACUAUCGUUAACUGAAUACAUAGGUUAACGAGGCGAACCGGGGGAACUGAAACAUCUAAGUACCCCGAGGAAAAGAAAUCAACCGAGAUUCCCCCAGUAGCGGCGAGCGAACGGGGAGCAGCCCAGAGUCUGAAUCAGCUUGUGUGUUAGUGGAACGGUCUGGAAAGUCCGACGGUACAGGGUGAUAGUCCCGUACACCAAAAUGCACAGGCUGUGAACUCGAAGAGUAGGGCGGGACACGUGGUAUCCUGUCUGAAUAUGGGGGGACCAUCCUCCAAGGCUAAAUACUCCUGACUGACCGAUAGUGAACCAGUACCGUGAGGGAAAGGCGAAAAGAACCCCGGCGAGGGGAGUGAAAAAGAACCUGAAACCGUGUACGUACAAGCAGUGGGAGCACCUUCGGGUGUGACUGCGUACCUUUUGUAUAAUGGGUCAGCGACUUAUAUUCUGUAGCAAGGUUAACCGUAUAGGGGAGCCGCAGGGAAACCGAGUCUUAACUGGGCGUUAAGUUGCAGGGUAUAGACCCGAAACCCGGUGAUCUAGCCAUGGGCAGGUUGAAGGUUGGGUAACACUAACUGGAGGACCGAACCGACUAAUGUUGAAAAAUUAGCGGAUGACUUGUGGCUGGGGGUGAAAGGCCAAUCAAACCGGGAGAUAGCUGGUUCUCCCCGAAAGCUAUUUAGGUAGCGCCUCGUGAACUCAUCUUCGGGGGUAGAGCACUGUUUCGGCUAGGGGGUCAUCCCGACUUACCAACCCGAUGCAAACUACGAAUACCGAAGAAUGUUAUCACGGGAGACACACGGCGGGUGCUAACGUCCGUCGUGAAGAGGGAAACAACCCAGACCGCCAGCUAAGGUCCCAAAGUCAUGGUUAAGUGGGAAACGAUGUGGGAAGGCACAGACAGCCAGGAUGUUGGCUUAGAAGCAGCCAUCAUUUAAAGAAAGCGUAAUAGCUCACUGGUCGAGUCGGCCUGCGCGGAAGAUGUAACGGGGCUAAACCAUGCACCGAAGCUGCGGCAGCGACACUAUGUGUUGUUGGGUAGGGGAGCGUUCUGUAAGCCUGCGAAGGUGUGCUGUGAGGCAUGCUGGAGGUAUCAGAAGUGCGAAUGCUGACAUAAGUAACGAUAAAGCGGGUGAAAAGCCCGCUCGCCGGAAGACCAAGGGUUCCUGUCCAACGUUAAUCGGGGCAGGGUGAGUCGACCCCUAAGGCGAGGCCGAAAGGCGUAGUCGAUGGGAAACAGGUUAAUAUUCCUGUACUUGGUGUUACUGCGAAGGGGGGACGGAGAAGGCUAUGUUAGCCGGGCGACGGUUGUCCCGGUUUAAGCAUGUAGGCUGGUUGUCCAGGCAAAUCCGGAUAAUCAAGGCUGAGGUGUGAUGACGAGGCACUACGGUGCUGAAGUAACAAAUGCCCUGCUUCCAGGAAAAGCCUCUAAGCAUCAGGUAACAUCAAAUCGUACCCCAAACCGACACAGGUGGUCAGGUAGAGAAUACCAAGGCGCUUGAGAGAACUCGGGUGAAGGAACUAGGCAAAAUGGUGCCGUAACUUCGGGAGAAGGCACGCUGGUGUGUAGGUGAAGUCCCUGCGGAUGGAGCUGAGACCAGUCGAAGAUACCAGCUGGCUGCAACUGUUUAUUAAAAACACAGCACUGUGCAAACACGAAAGUGGACGUAUACGGUGUGACGCCUGCCCGGUGCCGGAAGGUUAAUUGAUGGGGUUAUCCGUAAGGAGAAGCUCUUGAUCGAAGCCCCGGUAAACGGCGGCCGUAACUAUAACGGUCCUAAGGUAGCGAAAUUCCUUGUCGGGUAAGUUCCGACCUGCACGAAUGGCGUAAUGAUGGCCAGGCUGUCUCCACCCGAGACUCAGUGAAAUUGAACUCGCUGUGAAGAUGCAGUGUACCCGCGGCAAGACGGAAAGACCCCGUGAACCUUUACUAUAGCUUGACACUGAACAUUGAGCCUUGAUGUGUAGGAUAGGUGGGAGGCUUUGAAGCGUGGACGCCAGUCUGCGUGGAGCCAACCUUGAAAUACCACCCUUUAAUGUUUGAUGUUCUAACGUUGGCCCCUGACCGGGGUUGCGGACAGUGUCUGGUGGGUAGUUUGACUGGGGCGGUCUCCUCCCAAAGCGUAACGGAGGAGCACGAAGGUUAGCUAAUCCUGGUCGGACAUCAGGAGGUUAGUGCAAUGGCAUAAGCUAGCUUGACUGCGAGCGUGACGGCGCGAGCAGGUGCGAAAGCAGGUCAUAGUGAUCCGGUGGUUCUGAAUGGAAGGGCCAUCGCUCAACGGAUAAAAGGUACUCCGGGGAUAACAGGCUGAUACCGCCCAAGAGUUCAUAUCGACGGCGGUGUUUGGCACCUCGAUGUCGGCUCAUCACAUCCUGGGGCUGAAGUAGGUCCCAAGGGUAUGGCUGUUCGCCAUUUAAAGUGGUACGCGAGCUGGGUUUAGAACGUCGUGAGACAGUUCGGUCCCUAUCUGCCGUGGGCGCUGGAGAAUUGAGGGGGGCUGCUCCUAGUACGAGAGGACCGGAGUGGACGCAUCACUGGUGUUCGGGUUGUCAUGCCAAUGGCACUGCCCGGUAGCUAAAUGCGGAAGAGAUAAGUGCUGAAAGCAUCUAAGCACGAAACUUGCCCCGAGAUGAGUUCUCCCUGAGACUUUAAGUCUCCUGAAGGAACGUUGAAGACGACGACGUUGAUAGGCCGGGUGUGUAAGCGCAGCGAUGCGUUGAGCUAACCGGUACUAAUGAACCGUGAGGCUUAACCUU